Acipenser ruthenus (sterlet) is the source of this 458-nucleotide long non-coding RNA. RefSeq lists it as uncharacterized. The record is from RefSeq and is a predicted model, not a curated record. NCBI's taxonomy places the organism in Eukaryota, Metazoa, Chordata, Actinopteri, Acipenseriformes, Acipenseridae. The transcript is spliced from 3 exons.
GGGAUGAAAGGAGGACAGGAGGAGCAUUAAAGAUCUGAGCUAGCCGACGGUGCCCUUAUUGAACCAGGUUAAGAGCUUCACUCAGGAAGUCAGGAAGAGAUUUGCCUUUAAUUGCAGACAGCUCUCAAGCAGUGGGAAUGUCUCCAACCUGCAUCCCCAGGUGCUGGGGUCAGGGGUCAGCCCUUUGUCAUGGGGCACCGCCGCCGGGGCCAAUGGAAUCCCGCCGUUGCCAUGGGCUUCUUCGACGACAGCACAGGACAGAGAGAGCCUGGCAGCGAAAUGAACUGCAUUUUAACUUCAAGGGGAGCUCUGUGGGGCCCCUGGGGGUCGUGCACCUCUGACCCCCACUGACCUGCGGAAGGUAUGCGAGUCUGGAAACAGAAUAAAGAUGUGUUGAGGGAGAGCUGAUCCCCUGCAAAACUGCAAAACUGCAAAACUGCUCAAAACUACCUCCCCAA